Molecule: long non-coding RNA, 1751 nt
Filed under: Homo sapiens (human)
Lineage: Eukaryota; Metazoa; Chordata; Mammalia; Primates; Hominidae
Description: HSALNT0357419
Source: RNAcentral
GACACCAUAGAGGUGGGCCUUUGGCGAGUCACAGGCGCGGGUGUUCGGCUACGUCACUGGGGCGCUACGGUGCCUGGAGCUGGGCAGUCUUCUCGUCAGAGUGGGGACUGGUAAGAGCGACCUCACCGCCAGGUCCUGUGUGUUGCCGGCUGAAGAAGGGUAGCUGAAAAAUUCAGACCCAGCACAGUGUUUAUGUUGGUCAAAAAUAGAAAACUAUGUCUGCCGCGGCCGAGGCAGGAGGACCCUUCAGGCCAAGAGCAGCCUAGCAACAUGGCGCAACCCCAUCUCUGUAGUCCUACCUCAGCCCCCCAGCUACUUGAACCCAAAGGUUCAAGGCUCCAGUGAGCUAUGAUCCCACCACAGCAUUCCAGCCUGCGAGAUUGAGAUGAUGAUUAUUCCCCACCUUCUAAGAGACAAAGACCAACGAUCCACCACAGCCACCAGUCCCAGAACCCGCCAAUGCUGGGGAAUGGAAAAUGAGGGAGUUCAACUCUGGCCCUCACAAUCCAGUGGAGGAGACGAAACUCAUCUGCCUCUGUCCCUCUGGGCACGCCUCAUGCCAGGUGCAUCUGUGGACAGGGGCCAUGCUCCUGGGCUUCCAAAGUUGGAGAAAGCUGCCAGGCUCAGGUCUGAAGGCCAGAAUUCUACAGUAAGUCCUACUGAGUCAAGGUGGGAGCAGGGUCGGUGGCUUCCGAGGCUCUGCGGGAGAAUCCGUUUCCUGGCCGUAGAGGUGGCCUGCACUCCUCAGCUUGUGCUGCCCGUCUCGAAUGACUGGAGUUUCCUGCUUCUGUCACUACACCUCCCACCCUCUCCAUCACCUGCUCUGCUCUUAUAAGGAUCCGAAGAAAUGGAAUCAUCGUAUCGCUGAUCUGCGUAAACAAAUUGAAGAAUUGUCUGAAAGAAAAUAUGACAUGAACUUAUGAAUUCAACAGGUAAAGAUUUACAACUUGAUAAAUCAACUUUGUGAGCUCGAGCUGUAAAAGCCAAAGGUCCAGUGAUGAUCCCAUACCCUUUUGUCCAGUCUCAUGUUGAAGAUUUUUAUGUAGAAGGCCUUCCCAAAGGAAUUUUUUUUUUUUUUUUGAGAUGGAGUUUUCACUCUUAUCGCCCAGGCUGGGGUGCAAUGGCGCAACCUUGCUGGUCACUGCAACCUCUGCCUCCUGGGUUCAAGAAAUUCUCUUGCCUUAGCCUCCCAAGUUGCUGGGAUUACAGGUGCCCACCACCACACCAGGCUAAUUUUUGUAUUUUUAGUGGAGAUGGGGUUUCACCAUGUUGGCCGGGCCAGUCUCGAACUCCUGACGUCAAGUGAUCUUCCCGCCUCGACUCCUGACAUCAAGUGAUCUUCCCACCUCGGCCUCCAAGAGUGCUGAGAUUACAGAUGUGAACCCAUGCCUGGCCAGGAAUUUUGUUUUUUAGGAAGGCUUUCUACUAAUGGAAUUCCUGGCCUUGAGAGGAUGUUACUUUCGAAGGAAAGGAUUUUUUUGUUAUUAAAAGAGCCACCUAAGCUGAAGAUUCCCUUGAGAACAAGUACUGUCCUGCGGUUUCAUGGCCUUUCUUCCAUUUGUGGUUCUUGUGAAGUGGAAUUUAAAUGACAUCAAGAUGGAUAAACCCUAGUUUCCCAGUGCUGGAAUAUAGAAAAUGGAUGGACAACUGGACCUACCAUGAAAGACUUCUGAAUCCAGGAAGAGAAACUGACUGGGCAACAUGUUAUUCAGAGAUGGGACCUCAGUAUGUUGCCACGGCUGACCUUGAAC